RNAcentral lists this transfer RNA (72 nucleotides) under Fukomys damarensis (Damara mole-rat). It matches the Rfam family "tRNA". Rfam says of the family: Transfer RNA (tRNA) molecules are approximately 80 nucleotides in length. Their secondary structure includes four short double-helical elements and three loops (D, anti-codon, and T loops). Lineage: Eukaryota; Metazoa; Chordata; Mammalia; Rodentia; Bathyergidae. The record is from Rfam by way of RNAcentral.
GGGGGUGCAGCUCAGUGAUAGAGCACUUGCCUCAAAUGCAUGAAGCCCUGGAUUUGAUCUCCAACACCACAA